UACGAAGGGGGGCUAGCGUUGCUCGGAAUGACUGGGCGUAAAGGGCGCGUAGGCGGUUUGUACAGUCAGAUGUGAAAUUCUUGGGCUCAACCUGGGGGCUGCAUUUGAUACGUAUGGACUGGAGUGCGGAAGAGGGUCGUGGAAUUCCCAGUGUAGAGGUGAAAUUCGUAGAUAUUGGGAAGAACACCAGUGGCGAAGGCGGCUCACUGGUCCGGUACUGACGCUGAGGUGCGAAAGCGUGGGGAGCAAACAGG
RNAcentral lists this ribosomal RNA (254 nucleotides) under uncultured bacterium. RNAcentral describes it as "partial 16S ribosomal RNA". It matches the Rfam family "Bacterial small subunit ribosomal RNA", at positions 524 to 776 of the family's 1533-position model. The record is from RNAcentral.